This 857-nucleotide ribosomal RNA is filed under the name uncultured bacterium. Its description in RNAcentral is "bacterial SSU rRNA". It matches the Rfam family "Bacterial small subunit ribosomal RNA", at positions 11 to 860 of the family's 1533-position model. The record is from RNAcentral.
GUUUGAUCCUGGCUCAGAUUGAACGCUGGCGGAAUGCUUUACACAUGCAAGUCGAACGGCAGCACGAGAGCUUGCUCUUGGUGGCGAGUGGCGAACGGGUGAGUAAUAUAUCGGAACGUAUCCAAUAAUGGGGGAUAACUAAUCGAAAGGUUGGCUAAUACCGCAUACGCCCUACGGGGGAAAGCAGGGGAUCUUCGGACCUUGCGUUAAUGGAGCGGCUGAUAUCUGAUUAGCUAGUAGGUGAGGUAAAGGCUCACCUAGGCUUCGAUCAGUAGCUGGUCUGAGAGGACGACCAGCCACACUGGAACUGAGACACGGUCCAGACUCCUACGGGAGGCAGCAGUGGGGAAUUUUGGACAAUGGGGGCAACCCUGAUCCAGCCAUUCCGCGUGAGUGAAGAAGGCCUUCGGGUUGUAAAGCUCUUUCGCAAGGGAAGAAACGUUGCGAGCGAAUAAUUUGUGAUAAUGACGGUACCUUGAUAAGAAGCACCGGCUAACUACGUGCCAGCAGCCGCGGUAAUACGUAGGGUGCGAGCGUUAAUCGGAAUUACUGGGCGUAAAGCGUGCGCAGGCGGUUUUGUAAGUCAGAUGUGAAAUCCCCGAGCUCAACUUGGGAACUGCGUUUGAAACUACAAGGCUAGAGUAUGGUAGAGGGGGGUAGAAUUCCACGUGUAGCAGUGAAAUGCGUAGAGAUGUGGAGGAAUACCAAUGGCGAAGGCAGCCCCCUGGACUAAUACUGACGCUCAUGCACGAAAGCGUGGGGAGCAAACAGGAUUAGAUACCCUGGUAGUCCACGCCCUAAACGAUGUCUACUAGUUGUUGGGAGAGUAAAAUCUCUUAGUAACGCAGCUAACGCGU